This 68-nucleotide small RNA is filed under the name uncultured Clostridium sp. Lineage: Bacteria; Bacillati; Bacillota; Clostridia; Eubacteriales; Clostridiaceae. The record is from RNAcentral.
UUUACAACCGCACAGAUCAAGGUUUUAAGUAUGUAGUUCAUCACCUUGUAUGGCGAGUCUGAAAUUAA